Molecule: ribosomal RNA, 502 nt
Filed under: uncultured bacterium
Lineage: Bacteria
Description: partial 16S ribosomal RNA
Rfam family: Bacterial small subunit ribosomal RNA
Source: RNAcentral
GACGAACGCUGGCGGCGUGCUUAACACAUGCAAGUCGAACGGAGAAGGGGCCUGCUUUUGUGGGCCCUGGAUGAGUGGCGAACGGGUGAGUCACACGUGAGUAACCUGUCCCCUUCUUCUGGAUAACCGCAUGAAAGUGUGGCUAAUACGGGAAAUUCUGGGUCUGUCGCAUGAUGGGUCUGGGAAAGAUUGCGCCUUUGGGUGUUUUUGGUUGGGGAUGGGCUCGCGGGCUAUCGGCUUGUUGGUGGGGUGAUGGCCUACCAAGGCGGUGACGGGUAGCCGGCCGGGGGGUGUGCACGGUCACACUGGGACUGAGACACGGCCCAGACUGCUACGGGAGGCAGCAGUAGGGAAUAUUGCACAAUGGGCACAAGCCUGAUGCAGCGACGCCGCGUGAGGGAUGGAGGCCUUCGGGUUGUAAACCUCUUUCGCCAGUGAAGCAGGCCUGCUCCUUGUGGGUGGGUUGACGGUAGCUGGAUAAGAAGCGCCGGCUAACUACGUG